AUACCUUUCUCGGCCUUUUGGCUAAGAUCUAGUAUCUGUUCUUAUCAGUUUAAUAUCUGAUAUGUGGGUCAUCGGUUCACACGAUAUUAACUCUAUUUUUUAAGGGAGAAAACCCGUUAAGAUAGUUUGCUAUCUGGGCUUCCACGAGAAAGGUAUAACCCUGCAUGGGCCUGGCUCAACCCGC
Molecule: small nuclear RNA, 184 nt
Filed under: Arabidopsis halleri subsp. gemmifera
Lineage: Eukaryota; Viridiplantae; Streptophyta; Magnoliopsida; Brassicales; Brassicaceae
Description: snRNA U2
Rfam family: U2 spliceosomal RNA
About the family: U2 is a small nuclear RNA (snRNA) component of the spliceosome (involved in pre-mRNA splicing).
Source: RNAcentral